UGUAACCGUAUUAAUAGGCUGUUUAUUUUUUAAUAGCAAAUUACGAAAUAAUAUUUGCUUUAAAUGACACAUCCUUGCACGCGCGUAAUACUUUUCCCCAAUAAAAUGAGUAUUUUUCUCGAAAGCUAAAUUCCCAUAAGAAAAUUAACCUUACGGUAUGAACAAAUCUAUUAUUAAAUGUCGCGACAAUGUGCAAGGUUUUAACAUAAAAAUAAAUCACACAUUUUGAGUUAUUAAGGAGAGUAGUUCACAGAGAAACGCAAGUGUUCUUCAGCACAGCGACUGAGGGGGACUCGGACGGGUCCAAACGUUGCCACUAAAGUUAAAUAAAUAAAUAAUAAAAAUAACACUUUGGAAUGGCAGUAUUUUAUUUGUGAUUUGCAGUGCGCGUUGAGCAUGUUUACGAUCUAUGCAUAUGUUUUGAAGUCUCCGCGCAAUAUUUCGGUGUAACGAAAAAUAGUUGAUUUAAAAAACAUUUUACGAGCGGUUUCAAACUGCCCAUUUCGGGUCCUGACGUGACGGUUUCAAGUCACCCUUUCCCGCUCCUCUCCUCCCUUCCCCUCCCCUCCUGUUCAAGCAAAGGGAGAAAAAGACAAAAAUAGUAACGAGUGGAGAGGAAAAAAGGGCAAUAUAUGAAUGUUACAGCAAAGGGGGUACUCGUUUGGUUUGAACUUCAGCCGAAUGCCGUUUCUGCCCCCUCCUUCCCCUUCUCGUCCUCGCUUUCCAAAGUGAAAGGAGUGCAACUUUUUUGGAGGACACUGGAUUGCUCCCAGUUCGGCCGAAGAACGAGCGGGAAGAAAGGGGCCGACGGAUGUGAGGACUGGGGGAGGGUGGCGCUCUGGGAGGAAGGGGGGAAGGAGAGAACGGAGGAAGGAAUGAAUGCGGCAGCGGACAACAUGGCUGCCUGAACCCGGGAACAGCCGACGGAGAGGCAAUCGGCGACACUCUGGCCUCUCGACACCGUUUCAUUCGCCCGCUUUUCUAACCUUGCAAGGGACAGAUGUAUUUGAUUUGCUUCGAAUAAAAUGUCGGCAGUGACCAGACGACUUGACUUCCUUCCCACAGGAGCAUUCGGACGCCCGGCGCGUGUGGACGCGACUGUCUGCUGCCGUUUCUUGAGCCACGCAAAUUUCGUGUUAUCGUUCCCUAAAUGAAAAGGUGUGAAAUGGGUUUCAUAUAGAUCAGCAGCAGUAAGGGAUCACAGCGCAGUGUCACAUUCUAGCAGUCCAUGAAAAUGAUGGGCAAUACAUAAUGUGGGCCAAGUGUUUUGAUGACAAGAAGCCUUCUAACAACAUCAGAUGCAGCUUGUUCUUCGCCCUGCACUGCUGCAUGGUGUUUCAUGCCAUGAUUUAAGGGACUCUUUGUGGGGAGCCCCUUAAAGGCCUGACAUCACUACACUUGAGAAUCCAUCUCUUCUGGCCAGUACCUUGUCAAUUAACAGAACACGGAGGAAAGGCAUUCAGCAGUAAAGGAUCACACUGAAAACAUUUAUGAUGGGACAGCAGCCAUGUUUUCUGCAGCCAGUUACAUUGGCUGCACAGUCGAGAUGUUGCGGAUUUCUGACAAAAAUGGACAUCUGAAAUUCUACCAAGUUACCGGAGAAAUCCAGAUUCCACCAAAUGGACCAGAUGCACUGAAUUACACAAACCAGUUCAAGGGGAAAACAGUGGAUUGAUAGCAACCAGAAGACAAGUUGUUAAACACAGUAAAUGGUGUUUAAUGGAAAAAACAGAUGUGUUUUUUGCAGGUCAAAGCGACUCUGACUCCGAAGCCUGCAUAGGCAACUGAAAUAAUGCACCAUCUGAACUUCCCCAUUUUACUGCUCGGGUGUUUGCUGAGCAGCUAAAGCCCUAAAUCUGGAUCUGAUUAAUGGUUACCAGACAGUCCACAAGGGAAAAAACCUUAUUACUUACCUUACACUGUCCAUUUCUAUCAAGUAUUUAUUUUUUAAACCCAGCCUCCCAGAAAGACUUACAAUAAUGUUUCCAGUGCGUUAUCAUUUAUUUGUUUAUUUUCUCUAUUUCCCCAAUGCUCUUAUUCUAGGCAGUCAUCAAUCUAUGUGUCAGUGUUUUAGACAUUGUUACACUGGCCUUAGAAAUUCAUGUCUGAUAUUAAGUUACUCAGUUAAAACACAAACACACCAUUGUAGAACAUAUUUAUACUGUUGGAGUGUAAAUCGGAUUGGGUUCAAUCAAAGUCAGCCACAAAAGUGUCAUUUCUAAUUUUGUUUCCUACCAAAUUCUUCUAGCAACUGAUACAUGAAUAUUGGUGCUGAGUCAACUCUGAAAUUUAAUUUUAUUGUGCUUGAACCCUCUAAUCUCAUAAAUUGUCAAAAUUGUUUAAAUGAUCAAAAUUAUACUGUGCAGAUACUUCAGAAAGUGACAACAUUUUGAGUCUGGCCAAGAGCUGAAGGGACCUUGAUGGCUGAAUCAUGUACGAAAGGAUUGCCAAGAGACUUUGGACAAACUGUAUGAAUGUACCAUUCCUCUGCUUGCUUCUGUUCAUCAUACCCUUGUUUACCCUUUUGAACUGCACUGCAAUAAAAGGACAGCUGGCAUCCAGUGUAGAUUUACAACCUGUAGUUGUCCUGACUGUCAGAAUUCACAGGCUCAC
Long non-coding RNA from Scleropages formosus (Asian bonytongue), 2613 nucleotides. RefSeq lists it as uncharacterized. The record is from RefSeq and is a predicted model, not a curated record. Lineage: Eukaryota; Metazoa; Chordata; Actinopteri; Osteoglossiformes; Osteoglossidae. The transcript is spliced from 5 exons.